RNAcentral lists this long non-coding RNA (261 nucleotides) under Mytilus galloprovincialis (Mediterranean mussel). Lineage: Eukaryota; Metazoa; Mollusca; Bivalvia; Mytilida; Mytilidae. The record is from RNAcentral.
GGGGGUAUCCAAAGAAGAAAUAGGUAGACAUUUGACUACUAAGGAAAAAGAUCUGACACCAGAACCACCCCCUACAAUACAUUUUGUACAUGUAGCAACAAUGCUCCAGUUGCACAAAAGAAACAGAAGAAGUCCCUGGUAGCUACAUGAAGAGACAUUUAAUUUAAGAUUGAAUAAAGAUGUACAUGUAAUUUUAAUUUUUAAUAGAAAUGUUAUGGCAAUGUUAUGGUAUUGUUUAUUUGAAUUGAUAAUAUCAAAAGU